Long non-coding RNA from Colossoma macropomum (tambaqui), 592 nucleotides. RefSeq lists it as uncharacterized. Lineage: Eukaryota; Metazoa; Chordata; Actinopteri; Characiformes; Serrasalmidae. The transcript is spliced from 4 exons. The record is from RefSeq and is a predicted model, not a curated record.
AUUUAUUUGGUUUGCCUAGACCCGUUUCUGGACUUUUUUUUUCUGUUUUUGAACACUCUUUGGGACCUUUUCUGUGAGAUGAUCUGUAAUGUUUCAUGUUUGCUUUUUUUUUUUUAUUUUACAUUUUUGACUGUCUCUGAAUCUGUUUGUGAUUUAUGAGGCUGUGUUCUGAAUAAACGGGAAUCAUGGAUUCACACCCAUCUGGAGAGCCUUCAUUACAUGGAGAUAUUAAGCACAUAGGUAUGUCUGGUUGGAAACCUAAGAGGUGAAAUGCAGUCUUUGUCACCACAAGAUAAAGCUCAAAGUCAGCGACUGCUCGGACUGCUAUGAAAGGUAAGUCACGUUACGCUUUUCUAAUGAGGUGUCAAUGGUCUAUCCACAGGGGACGACAAGUAAAGAGAUCCGUCAGGCACGACUCUGUGUCUGUCAUUCCAAAGUGUAUCUCUUCAAAUGGAUGGAAUUUGUGUACAGGGUUUCUCAAGAUCUGCGUUUACACCAAAUCGACAUGAUUGCUGAUGAAAUAGCAGGGAGUUCAGCAACUUUGUCAAAAAUGGCCAAAAAGGUGAGAGAGGCUUGUGAUGUCAAUGGAGAA